UACGUAGGGUGCGAGCGUUAAUCGGAAUUACUGGGCGUAAAGGGUGCGCAGGCGGUUUUGUAAGUCAGAUGUGAAAUCCCCGGGCUUAACCUGGGAAUUGCGUUUGAAACUGCAAGACUAGAGUGCAGCAGAGGGGAGUGGAAUUCCAUGUGUAGCAGUGAAAUGCGUAGAGAUGUGGAGGAACACCGAUGGCGAAGGCAGCCCCCUGGGUCGACACUGACGCUCAUGCACGAAAGCGUGGGGAGCAAAC
Molecule: ribosomal RNA, 250 nt
Filed under: uncultured bacterium
Lineage: Bacteria
Description: partial 16S ribosomal RNA
Rfam family: Bacterial small subunit ribosomal RNA
Source: RNAcentral